RNAcentral lists this ribosomal RNA (1073 nucleotides) under Pseudomonas sp. MF2846. Its description in RNAcentral is "partial 23S ribosomal RNA". It matches the Rfam family "Bacterial large subunit ribosomal RNA", at positions 497 to 1576 of the family's 2925-position model. RNAcentral also lists the same sequence under 1 other name. Lineage: Bacteria; Pseudomonadati; Pseudomonadota; Gammaproteobacteria; Pseudomonadales; Pseudomonadaceae. The record is from RNAcentral.
AGUACCGUGAGGGAAAGGCGAAAAGAACCCCGGAGAGGGGAGUGAAAUAGAUCCUGAAACCGUAUGCGUACAAGCAGUGGGAGCCCACUUUGUUGGGUGACUGCGUACCUUUUGUAUAAUGGGUCAGCGACUUAUUUUCAGUGGCGAGCUUAACCGAAUAGGGGAGGCGUAGCGAAAGCGAGUCUUAAUAGGGCGUCUAGUCGCUGGGAAUAGACCCGAAACCGGGCGAUCUAUCCAUGGGCAGGUUGAAGGUUGGGUAACACUAACUGGAGGACCGAACCGACUACCGUUGAAAAGUUAGCGGAUGACCUGUGGAUCGGAGUGAAAGGCUAAUCAAGCUCGGAGAUAGCUGGUUCUCCUCGAAAGCUAUUUAGGUAGCGCCUCAUGUAUCACUGUAGGGGGUAGAGCACUGUUUCGGCUAGGGGGUCAUCCCGACUUACCAAACCGAUGCAAACUCCGAAUACCUACAAGUGCCGAGCAUGGGAGACACACGGCGGGUGCUAACGUCCGUCGUGAAAAGGGAAACAACCCAGACCGUCAGCUAAGGUCCCAAAGUUAUGGUUAAGUGGGAAACGAUGUGGGAAGGCUUAGACAGCUAGGAGGUUGGCUUAGAAGCAGCCACCCUUUAAAGAAAGCGUAAUAGCUCACUAGUCGAGUCGGCCUGCGCGGAAGAUGUAACGGGGCUCAAACCAUACACCGAAGCUACGGGUAUCACGUAAGUGAUGCGGUAGAGGAGCGUUCUGUAAGCCUGUGAAGGUGAGUUGAGAAGCUUGCUGGAGGUAUCAGAAGUGCGAAUGCUGACAUGAGUAACGAUAAUGGGUGUGAAAAACACCCACGCCGAAAGACCAAGGUUUCCUGCGCAACGUUAAUCGACGCAGGGUUAGUCGGUCCCUAAGGCGAGGCUGAAAAGCGUAGUCGAUGGAAAACAGGUUAAUAUUCCUGUACUUCUGGUUAUUGCGAUGGAGGGACGGAGAAGGCUAGGCCAGCUUGGCGUUGGUUGUCCAAGUUUAAGGUGGUAGGCUGGAAUCUUAGGUAAAUCCGGGAUUCUAAGGCCGAGAGCUGAUGACGAGUUA